CAGUAUUAAAACAGAUAGAGCAGAGCGGAGAUAUGAGAAUGGAGUGCGGCUUCCUAAUCCUCGUGCUUGUGCUUGCGUUGCUAGGGACGCAGACAACACGAGUGUUGGGCGCCGUGGGGACAAGUAGCCGGCCGUAUGAACAAAGCAAUCUUGCCGUUCCGUCGGCGGCCAUGAUGGGCAGGUGCCCGAAGAAGUGUGGCAAUCUGAGCUUCGCCUACCCAUUCGGCAUGGGCACCGGCUGCUUCCGCAACCCCGACUUCAACCUGACCUGCGUCGUCGAAGGCAGCACGGGCACCUCCCGGCUCUUCUUGCGCGACGGCAUCACCGAGGUCGCUGCCGGCCAUUGGUUCCGGCAUCGAGGUCGGCUGGUCGCCGGAAAUAAGCAUCUCCUACACCGAAACCGUCCCUGUCCGCUCCGGCGUGGACGUCUACAACAUGUCCUCUUGGUCACCUCCCGGGCGAUCUUUCUUGCUAUUCGAUGCCAGCAUAAACGUCACGGGCUGCGGCUUCGACGUGUACAUGCUGGACCACGACUUGAACACGACCUCAAAGGUCUGCUCAACCACCUGCCCCGGCGGCGAGAUCACGGAGACGAUGGCCAUGCAGAACUGCAACGACACCUGGUGCUGCUCCGUCCGUUUUUUCUUUAACUUUAAUGGGUUUCAGUUCAGCUUUGUCCGGCGACGGGGCGAGGAAGGCAGGGUAAACUACACAAGUCCCUUGUGGAACAAGAUCAGCGUCACAACGGACGAUGCAAUCCUGCUGUGGUAUGUGGCCGAUCAGCAAAGAUGUGCCGACGCCGAGGCAGACGUGGCCACCUACGCCUGCCUCAGCAGCAACAGCAGCUGCACAGAUAACGAUUUUACAUAUAGCGGCUACCAAUGCUACUGCGACGGCGGGUAUGUAGGCAAUCCCUAUGUUCGCGGUGGUUGCUCGCGCGACAAAGGUAACCUUCUUUUUUUUUCCCUUAAUUUUGAACAAAUUUUCUCUCAUAACAAACUUUCGGUAAGUUUUACUGUGCACUUUGUAGAACAUCACCGGGAACAAUUAAUUAGUACUACCUCCGUCCGAAAAAACAACGGAGCCGCCACACCACCCCCAUCGCAACCCAACCCGUCCUCAUCGCACCCAUAGUUUGAGUCAUCGCACCACCGCUAUCAUGGGAGCAAGACCUCCUCGACUGGCGGGCACACCUCCAUGUUCCCGUGGCGGACGCCCGCAGGUUCGCAGGGAACUCCAGAGCCAACCCAUACUACCCCAACCUCCAGAGGCCGUGCUCUAGAACAGCACGAGAGCGGGUCCUGGUUUAUGUUUCUCACACUUGCAAAAAUUAUGUCUUUAAUUUGGCUGGUCAUAUUAUUAGAAAAAUGUCUUGUUAUAUUAUUAUUCUUAUUUGAAUUGGCUUGUUAUAUUAAACACAACGUGGCACAGUACAUUUCAUCCAAAACUUGUAAUUUUUCUUUGUGCAAAUAGGAUAUAAGCCAAAUCAACAAGUGACAAAUUGCACACGACGAUGUGGAAACAUUGACAUCCAAUUUCCUUUCGGCCUAGAAGAAGGCUGUUUUGCGAGGGAGGUAUUUCAGCUGAAUUGCACUAAUACGACAACCUCUACACUACAAAUGAAAGAUGAUGAUGAAAAUCAAGUGACGUACAUAAAUAUUGAGGAGGGGCUAGUGGAGAUUAAUUAUACGGCAGAUUAUUACAACCUGCGGUUUUCCGCGAAUUAUAUUGACGAGGAAUCUAACCUCUAUAUGAGUAGUUAUUGGCACACAUCAUCGGUUCAGUGGGCUGUCGCUAACCUAACUUGUCAAGAAGCACAGAUGGACAUGUCUAGGUAUGCAUGUGUCAGCAGCAAUAGCACAUGUCUGAUUGUCAACUCUACGAUGAAUGGUUUCUAUGGUUAUCGCUGCAAAUGUUCGCCAGGCUAUCAAGGAAAUCCGUACGUACAUACUGGUUGUCAGGAUAUUAAUGAGUGCACUAAUACAAGAGGUAUAUGUGAAGAGGUUUGUCAUAAUACUGUGGGGAGCUAUUAUUGCACCAAGUGUCCUCCAAAAAUGGACUAUGAUACUACAACAAUGCAAUGUACUUCAAUAAAAAGACAAAAUAUUUACAUAGGUAUUAUCAUUGGGUUGAGCAGUGGCUUCGGGGUUCUUUUUCUUAGCUUGAGUGGAGUUUUCAUUGUACACAAAUGGAAGAGCCACAUCCGAAGGCAGAUGCGGAGGAAAUAUUUUAGGAAAAACCAAGGUCUUCUUUUAGAACAACUUAUAUCGUCGGAUGAAAAUGCAAGUGACAAGACAAGAAUUUUCUCAGUGGAAGAGCUAGAGAAGGCAACAGACAACUUCCAUCAAACACGUAUCGUUGGCCGUGGAGGGCAUGGCAUGGUUUACAAAGGCAUACUAUCCGACCAAAGGGUAGUUGCCAUAAAGAAGUCUAAGGUCAUUGAGCAAGGUGAGAUCAAUCAAUUCAUCAAUGAGGUCGCCAUUCUCUCUCAGAUAAACCACCGAAACAUCGUAAAGCUUUUCGGAUGUUGUCUUGAAACAGAGGUACCUUUGUUAGUGUACGAUUUUAUCCCCAACGGAUCAUUGUAUGGUAUUCUUCAUUCUGAUUCCAACACUAGUUGUUUAUCUUGGGAUGACUGCAUAAGGAUUGCUUUGGAAGCUGCAGGAGCUCUCUCUUAUCUCCAUUCCGCAGCAUCAAUAUCAGUCUUCCAUCGUGAUGUGAAAUCAUCCAAUAUACUAUUGGAUGGAAACUACACAGCUAAGGUUGCUGAUUUUGGGGCUUCAAGGCUAGUUUCUAUUGACCAAACCCACAUUGUGACAAAUGUACAAGGCACGUUUGGGUACUUGGACCGAGAAUAUUACUACACUGGACAAUUAAAUGAGAAAAGUGAUGUCUACAGUUUUGGGGUUGUACUCAUUGAGCUACUUCUCAGGAGAGAGCCAAUAUUCACAAGUGAAUCCGGCUCGAAGCAAAACUUGUCAAACUAUUUCCUAUCGGGGUUAAAAGCAAGACCAGUUACAGAAAUAGUAGCUGCCCAAGUUCUUGAUGAAGCAACUGAGGAAGAGAUUAGCAGCGUAGCUUCCCUUGCAGAGAUGUGCUUGAGGCUCCGAGGUGAGGAUAGACCUACCAUGAAACACGUGGAGAUGGCUUUAAGGGUUCUGCAAACAGAAAGGUUAAAAUUGUGCCAUGUUGAUCCAGGGAAUGCACAAGAGAAGGAACCACUGCUAACUCCAGCAAGAGAAAAAGAUAGCUCUGAUCAGUUGGUUGCUUCUGAUUGUGUCAAUGCUAAUUUGGCAUCUGAAAACAUGAAACCGUGCUAUAGCUUUGAGCAAGAGUUCAUGUCAUAUGAUGGUGUUUCACGCCUCUGAUGAUCAUUCGUCCUUUAUGCAUCAAUAAACAAUGCACAUUUGUAAGGUCAAGCACCAUAUGUACCGAUGUAGUAGGUUGUGUAAGUUGUAUUUCUCAGGUCUGUUGUAAACUAGUAUACCAAACUUUGUGUGAUCCUGUCAGUCUAUUCUAUGUAGGUUGUCUAGCUUAGUUCUUGAGUGGCAAAAAAAAAACACAAUUUUUUUGAAAGAUGGCGAUUGUAAUGUAUCAGCACAUGCAAAAUGAGGCAUUAGACAAAGCAGGAUCCAUUCUGGUACACUAAUUAGCGUUAUAAUAAAUAUGAGAAAAGUAAAUAUUUCG
RNAcentral lists this ribosomal RNA (3687 nucleotides) under Triticum aestivum (bread wheat). Its description in RNAcentral is "partial small subunit ribosomal RNA". Lineage: Eukaryota; Viridiplantae; Streptophyta; Magnoliopsida; Poales; Poaceae. The record is from RNAcentral.